RNAcentral lists this transfer RNA (73 nucleotides) under Elusimicrobiota bacterium. RNAcentral's name for it is "Elusimicrobia bacterium (hot springs metagenome) tRNA-Ala". It matches the Rfam family "tRNA". Rfam says of the family: Transfer RNA (tRNA) molecules are approximately 80 nucleotides in length. Their secondary structure includes four short double-helical elements and three loops (D, anti-codon, and T loops). Lineage: Bacteria; Pseudomonadati; Elusimicrobiota. The record is from RNAcentral.
GGGGUGGUAGUUCAGUUGGGAGAACAUCCGCUUGGCGUGCGGAAGGUCGGGGGUUCAACUCCCCUCCACUCCA